UUACACACACAAUUACACACACAAUUACACACACAAUUACACACACAAUUACACACACAAUUACACACACAAUUACACACACAAUUACACACACACACAGACACACACACAGACACACACACAGACACACCCAUAGACAUAUGUAGGUAGGUAGGUAGGUAGGUAGGUAGGUAGGUAGGUAGGUAGGUAGGUAGGUAGGUAGGUAGGUAGGUAGGUAGGUAGGUAGGUAGGUAGGUAGGUAGUAGGUAGGUAGGUAGGUAGGUAGGUAGGUAGGUAGGUAGGUUGGUAGGUGUGCAUGCACCAAAGUGUUUCGUGGUGAAUAGAGUCAAAAGUCCUACUGAAGUUUAUCUGCAUCACGAUAAGUGGUCUGUCUCCGGGCAAUGUAUGCUAAGAAAUGAGGUGGCGCAGGGCAACACGGAGAAUUGAUUUCUCCGUUCCAGAGCCACACCUACAUCCCGCCUGUCUUGCGGCGCAGUUUCCGUUUUCCUCACAGAAUUUGUAACCCGGCUAGCGAUGAGCGCGGCGCACAACUUGCACAAAGGGUCCCCCACAGCGAUACCCCGAUAAUUAUCACAUGUUGAGUCAUCUCCCUCCUUGAGUGCGGGGUACAAUGUAGUGGACGUAAAGGCUAGGCACCCUGUUCGCCUCCCUCGUACACGCAGUUGAAUACUUACGUCCGUUAGGUUGCAAUGGCAUGCCUUGUUCGCCCGUCAUGCCCCUCAGUAGUUGGAUGCUUGUAGUUCUCGGCCAGUGUGGGUUCCCGUUGUGAGGCGUAUGUAUACCUACGCUGUGUGUUAUGUGAAUCCCAUCAAAAUUGACCCCGGUGGGGAUUGAACCCACAGCCUUCGGAUGCUUUCUUCUUU
Molecule: long non-coding RNA, 863 nt
Filed under: Volvox carteri
Lineage: Eukaryota; Viridiplantae; Chlorophyta; Chlorophyceae; Chlamydomonadales; Volvocaceae
Description: long non-coding RNA (VCAR_LNC003538)
Source: RNAcentral